CCUACGGGGGGCAGCAGUGAGGAAUAUUGGUCAAUGGACGAGAGUCUGAACCAGCCAAGUAGCGUGAAGGAUGACUGCCCUAUGGGUUGUAAACUUCUUUUAUAUGGGAAUAAAAUGUUCCACGUGUGGGAUUUUGUAUGUACCUUAUGAAUAAGGAUCGGCUAACUCCGUGCCAGCAGCCGCGGUAAUACGGAGGAUCCGAGCGUUAUCCGGAUUUAUUGGGUUUAAAGGGAGCGUAGGUGGAUUGUUAAGUCAGUUGUGAAAGUUUGCGGCUCAACCGUAAAAUUGCAGUUGAUACUGGCAGUCUUGAGUACAGUAGAGGUAGGCGGAAUUCGUGGUGUAGCGGUGAAAUGCUUAGAUAUCACGAAGAACUCCGAUUGCGAAGGCAGUUCACUGGACUGCAACUGACACUGAGGCUCGAAAGUGUGGGUAUCAAACAGGAUUAGAUACCCGAGUAGUC
RNAcentral lists this ribosomal RNA (460 nucleotides) under uncultured bacterium. RNAcentral's name for it is "partial 16S ribosomal RNA". It matches the Rfam family "Bacterial small subunit ribosomal RNA", at positions 338 to 795 of the family's 1533-position model. The record is from RNAcentral.